UCAAUUGUAUAUUGUUGUUAUUCGAUCUUUGACUUAAAUAACCUUGCUCAAUUCUAUAUUAUUGUAUUGAACCUUCAAGUAGCAAGAAAACUCUCAUUGAUUGAAUUGGUCUAUAAUUCAAUAGUGUUCUAAAACUCUAGAACCACUGAUAAGCUAGUUCCAAACUAAACUUUCUUUAGUGCAUAAAUUCUAAAUUCAAACUGAGAUGAACAACCCUAACAUAGGGGAUUAUGUACGUGUAACGUUUAGAUGUUUGUGCACAAUAAAUGGUACAAAGGGCUGAUCCCCCAAAGUACGUAA
Molecule: long non-coding RNA, 300 nt
Filed under: Panax ginseng (ginseng)
Lineage: Eukaryota; Viridiplantae; Streptophyta; Magnoliopsida; Apiales; Araliaceae
Description: long non-coding RNA (PGIN_LNC012672)
Source: RNAcentral